GUUUUUUCUUUUCUUCAGAUAAAUAAGUUUAUGGUUCAACGAUUUCAACUACAUGUAGUACGAAAUAAAAAUAAAUUAUUUAACAUAUAUAUUAUUGUUUGUAAACAAGGGCUUGCUUACGGAAAUCACAAUAUUUGUUUCUCCCCUUCCGACUAAACAGGAAACCCCAAUAUAGGUUAUCGACCACAAUUACAUCAAAUAUGUAUACUUUACAAUGUACUCUUAACUAUUCAGCAAAUUGAUGAUGGAAGUCUAUAGCACGGCGGUUUGACAGUCGAGUUCGUCCCAAAUACCAAUAUAGCUAUUCACGAAGUUACCCCAAUGCAUAUAUGAAUAUGAUUCCAUUCAGAUGCGGAUCCAGGAUUCUGAAAAAAGGAGAACCCACUAACAAAAUAACCGGCAUAAGGGGUGGGAUUUGUAAAUACUCUAUGCAUAGUAACAAUGUAUAUCUAUAUUUUUAUUAUAACAGUGGCGGAUCCAGAACUUUUUAUAAGGGAUUAGGGGGGACACUGUGUGCCAUAAGAGGGGGCCCGCUACAGUUAUGCUUUAGUGAUUCCUUAUCAACAAAAAAUUUCGAACGAAAGUCCCUAGCCCCCCUGAAUCCACCUAUGUAUAAUUUAACCAUAUUCUGAGAUUCUUAAAAGGGGGAGUUCGAGACUCCCUUUCUUCUCCUAAAUCCGCAUCUAGAUUAAACUUUGUCUAUAACAUAUGUUGUAAGUGAAGAGAUACCAGUUAACUGUUAGCUCGAGUUCCUUUGACAUAACUGUACUUAUAUGUAAUAUAAACAUUGUCCAUCAUGAUGUCCUUGAAGAGUACGGCUUUCGGAAAAGCAAAACAUACAUGUUAUUACCAAACAGCUAAUUAUAAAAUAUUACAUUUGUCCAGUUGUCACAUUAAACUAAAAUUCAUGGCGUCCGAACGUCUAAAUGGCAAUAUAUUUAUCAUUAAGAAUUAAUAGGCUAUCUGAAUACACAUCCUUACAC
RNAcentral lists this long non-coding RNA (983 nucleotides) under Mytilus galloprovincialis (Mediterranean mussel). Lineage: Eukaryota; Metazoa; Mollusca; Bivalvia; Mytilida; Mytilidae. The record is from RNAcentral.